GGCCAUAACUCAUAUAGAAUUGCACCCCCUUUCUUCUUCAAGCAAUUUUCUGAAUCUCUACCUCCCUUCACCACAAAGCUGCGCUGCUACUUCUUCAUAGGAGGGACGUGGCUGCACGCUCGGCCACCCCUGCCACGCGCCGCUCAUCUCUCCGCAGCGGUGUUCGAUCCACCACCUCCGAUCAAUUCAUUGGUGAAACAGCGGCUUCGACUCAUACUCUGUCUUCUUCAAUUCGUUACUUCAGAGAUAAUGGUAGCAUCUUUGAUUUUGGGUUCGCUCGAUUGGGAUGGAGGAAAAGUGGGAUGAUCAUUUAUUCUUUUGGUAUGGGAGGUAUUGGAAAAGGCAUUGGGCUUUGGACCGCAUUCUAUGACUACAACAAGCAUUCCGUUUCAGCUCGGGCAAAAGGAGACUAUUGCAAGCCUUUUGGAUCAUGCGGAGUUUCCCGAGCACUUGAUGAUGGAGCAACCGAAAGACGGAAUGUAAUCUAGAAAUUCUUGGGUCGAUCCGACGGUAUAUGACCUUCCAUGAGCUAUUUCAUCUUCGUACAUAACUGCUGUAACAACGUGAGCAACACGGAGCCGUCAAAAGAGAUCACUGCCGAGAGGAAGUUCUCUGCCAACCGGGCAAAGAGACUGCCGAGAGGAAGUUCUCUGCCAACCGGGCAAAGAGUUUUCCUAUAAGGAACCCUGUCUUGCGCAUCCUUCAGAAGGCAUGCGUUUGCUACCCAUUCGCCCGUGUGGAGCAUGGUAGCGUUAUUAGAGACGAGCUAUUCCUGUUGUGGCAGAUCUUGUACAGACAACCAACUUUGAACUUGGGUCACUUCAUGAUCAAGCAUCUUGAGCGUGCUGCGAAGAAGAAGAGGACCUUGUGUGUUAGUGCGGUGGUAGCUGCCAUAGCCCUCCAUCUGGGGUGCAACUUGAGACAAAAGGCUGGAGAUCACUUUCCACUCCCCAACUCCACCACCACUUAUGUCCACGGGCCGUAGCAGAGGGAGAAUUGGUUGAUGAACAGUUCGGCCCACCGCCAAAUCACACCAAGGAACCAGGCCGGGCGUUUUGCUGCAGCAAACCAGGCAUUUCAACGGCGCCAAAAACUUGACUCGAAUUAUUUUUAACACGAGAAAUACCCGCAAGUGUACGGAGCUAGUGUAGUUGACAUACUUGGACGCUAACGGUGAA
Molecule: long non-coding RNA, 1178 nt
Organism: Salvia hispanica
Lineage: Eukaryota; Viridiplantae; Streptophyta; Magnoliopsida; Lamiales; Lamiaceae
Source: RefSeq, a predicted model, not a curated record